Molecule: ribosomal RNA, 708 nt
Filed under: uncultured bacterium
Lineage: Bacteria
Description: bacterial SSU rRNA
Rfam family: Bacterial small subunit ribosomal RNA
Source: RNAcentral
UGAGAGUUUGAUCCUGGCUCAGGACGAACGCUGGCGGCGUGCUUAACACAUGCAAGUCGAACGGAAAGGCCCUGCUUGCAGGGUGCUCGAGUGGCGAACGGGUGAGUAACACGUGGGUGAUCUGCCCCUGACUUUGGGAUAAGCCUGGGAAACUGGGUCUAAUACCGGAUAUGACCAAGGAUUGCAUGGUUCUUGGUGGAAAGCUUUUGCGGUUGGGGAUGGGCCCGCGGCCUAUCAGCUUGUUGGUGGGGUAAUGGCCUACCAAGGCGACGACGGGUAGCCGACCUGAGAGGGUGAUCGGCCACACUGGGACUGAGACACGGCCCAGACUCCUACGGGAGGCAGCAGUGGGGAAUAUUGCACAAUGGGCGCAAGCCUGAUGCAGCGACGCCGCGUGAGGGAUGACGGCCUUCGGGUUGUAAACCUCUUUCAGCAGGGACGAAGCGCGAGUGACGGUACCCGCAGAAGAAGCACCGGCCAACUACGUGCCAGCAGCCGCGGUAAUACGUAGGGUGCGAGCGUUGUCCGGAAUUACUGGGCGUAAAGAGCUCGUAGGCGGUUUGUCGCGUCGUCUGUGAAAUUCUGCAGCUUAACUGCAGGCGUGCAGGCGAUACGGGCAGACUUGAGUACUACAGGGGAGACUGGAAUUCCUGGUGUAGCGGUGAAAUGCGCAGAUAUCAGAGGAACACCGGUGGCGAUGCGGGUCUU